GACCCUGCGGUUUUAUUGUUGAACUUAGCUAGCACUGGACGUGCCACUCGGUUGCUGAAGAAUUGAACACCAUGACUACUGCAGUCAACAAGCUUGAAAGUAGCUCUGACACACGUAACCGACCGCAGAGAAAUGCAGACGGCUUUGAAAGACACGGCAGACACACGUGCGGUUUCUGCGUCUGAGGUAAGCCGUGUUCUAAGUCUCUCCUGUAAAGUGUCCAGUGCAACAUUUCUUGUUUGAAUUCGUGGGAUAUUGUAAUGUUCUCAUAUUCGCUGAUGAUGGUUCUUGCACCCAGAGGCGGGGUCAACUCGACAGCGUCUGCUGCACCAGGCGCAGAAGAAUCAAAAGCUUGUGGCGAUGCCUUUGAUUCCUCGGCCUUCAGACAAAGUGUUCUUUGAAAAUGCCCACGUACGACACCCCCGCCGCUACCAUGAAUCGUUUCUGCGCAGUCGACCCUACAGAGGAGAGCCUCCGACCGUGGCUGGAUUUCUCCCGUAUCCAGACACACCUUUGAAGAUGGAGACCACAUCCAGGGAGGCUUUCUGCUUUAGAGGAGACAUCACACGGAGCAAACAUUCGUCAUCCUCAAAAAGAAACCCCAAAAGCAAACGGCAGCCCAUGCAGCCGUUCUGAAAAGGGUGAGUAUGACGGGAGCUUUGGCCACCCGGUGUUACCGUGUGUGAACAAUGAGCAGACCGAGAUGAAAUCGCAGUAUCAGAGAGAUUUCCCCCGGCCGUCCUCUCACCGGAGGAGGCAAACUCCUGCUUGUCCGCAGCCAGACAACCUGGGCAUCAACCCCGCUUUCAGGAUCGAGUUCAGCACCGUGCAGAAAGAGGCAUACCCGGAGCCGGCUCAUCACGAAGCCGAGAAGCAGAAACUGGCUUCAUCCAGACAACAAGACGUCUGAGCGCCAACCUGCACAUGUACGGACACGCUGGAAAUAAAACCUUCUGCUACUUUGAUCCCGAGGCAAUGCAAAGGAAAUAGCUUCUGCAACUUCAACAACUAUAAACGUUUUGACAAGGAGACAAGAUGUUCUCACCAGAGUCUCAUGACUUGAUUGAUUUCUGAGAAUUUCCCC
Molecule: long non-coding RNA, 1084 nt
Organism: Fundulus heteroclitus (mummichog)
Lineage: Eukaryota; Metazoa; Chordata; Actinopteri; Cyprinodontiformes; Fundulidae
Exons: 4
Source: RefSeq, a predicted model, not a curated record